Molecule: long non-coding RNA, 612 nt
Organism: Cyanistes caeruleus (blue tit)
Lineage: Eukaryota; Metazoa; Chordata; Aves; Passeriformes; Paridae
Source: Ensembl
CUGAGACCAAACAGCAGCAAAUGAGCUGUGGUCAGCAGUGUUACAGCACCAGCCUGGUCCAGCCAGGCUUCAGGCCACUGCUCAGAGCCAGCCACUGCUGAAAAACAAGGAGAGGGGGCAGUCAAAGCAGAAUGAGGAACACAGAAGGCCACAGAGAGACGGGGCGCUGGGCAGGGCUUAUCGCACCCCUCAGCCCAGGGAACCUCUGGUGCUCCCUAUUGGGUUCCACAUUUCCAGGGAUCCCCAGAGUAGCACAGUUAGAGGUUCAACACAAGCCUACAAGGAGCAGAGGUGCAGGCACUUCAUGCAGCAUCCCUUUGGAAGUUAUUCAGCUCCUGAGAUGGGAAAAAGCAGUUUUACUUCAACACUCAUACAAACAUCAAAGCGUCCUGCACAGGAAGGAAGGGCUUGAGGAUAACUUCAGAGUUUUCUGGAUGUAUUCUUGGAGGACACACUGCAGAACAGCUACAGCAACUCCUGUUCCAAGCAAAGUCUGAAGGCAGGAAGAACUUUUUACUUAGAAAUCAUACUUAUAAAAACACUGUUCUGUGACUUGUUUCAUCCUGCAAUCUCACAAGUUUCCUCAGACACCUCUUGCAAAAUAACUUUGGG